RNAcentral lists this long non-coding RNA (5305 nucleotides) under Ananas comosus (pineapple). Its description in RNAcentral is "long non-coding RNA (ACOM_LNC042071)". The record is from RNAcentral. Lineage: Eukaryota; Viridiplantae; Streptophyta; Magnoliopsida; Poales; Bromeliaceae.
GCAAUGCUGUACCGGUACAGACAUCACCCUGUACCGGUACACAAUGCAAAUGCUGCUCCUGACAGCAGCUCACAGCAGCAGCUCUCCCAGCCAUUUUCUCACAUUUAGCUCAAUUCCUUUUUUACCCAAACACUUCUAAAACAUGCCAAGAAACCUUUCCAAGCUACCAAAUUAAUUUGAAACCAUUUCAUUUCCAAUUUGGUACAAUUUUGAUCAAUUUCAUCAGGAUUAAUUAAAAAUUUCAGCAUUUUCCUGGCAGUAGUAUUACUUGAUAGUCUUGGCACUUCCGAUUCACUUCGAGCCCACUUACACAGUUCCAAAAUAAGUCAAUUGUUGUUCUCAAGCUACUAAUUAAGUUCAUUAACACUUAAUUUCUAUUUUGACAUCAUUGUGAUCAACUUGAUUACAAUUAGCUCAAGGUCAAUUUUCCAAUGCGUUACAAUCUCCCCUCCUUAAAUAGUUUCGUCCUCGAAACUAAAAUUCAUACCUCAAUCUUCUUGAUCAAAUAGAUGGGGAUAAAGUUCUCAUAUGGCUUAUUCCAAUUCCCAAGUGACUUCUCGUCUCGAGUGAUUGUUCCAUUGCAUGUUCACAUAAGGAAUGGUGCGAUUUCGUAAUUUUCGCACUUCACGAUCAAGAAUACAUACUGGAUAUUCUUUAUAUGUCAUAUUCUCUUGCAAAUCCGCUGGCUCGUACUCCAGAAUAUGCCCUGAAUGAUGUCACCUAUUUAUGGAGAUUCGAAACAUGAAACAUAUUGUGUAUUCCUUCGAACUUCGGUGGCAAAGCCAAUCGAUAGGCUACUGCUUCAACUCGUUCUAGGAUCCCGUAAGGUCCAAUGUAUUGAGGACUAAACUUUCCUCGAACACCAAAUCUUUUUUUCUUUUUCUUUUUCUUUUUUUUUUUUUAUCCCGCGCAUUGGCGAUACCCUAAAGAAUACUGAAUCGCCCACAACAAACUCCAAGUUCUUUUGGCACUUAUUGGCAUAACUUUGUUGCCGUGACUGAGCUGUCAACAAUCUCUGGCGGACUAGGCGUACCUUUUCUUCCACUUCUUGGAGCACAUCAGGACCAAGUAUCAGUUUUUUUUUUCCUACUUCACUCCAAUGAAUAGGAGAUCGAUCAAAGCUUCAAUUGGUGUCAUUUCGAUAUUUUUUUUUUUUUGAUAACUGUUAUUAUAUGCAGCUUGGCCAUUGCCAAGAAUUCAUGCCAACUUCCUCUAAACUCUUCCAAAAGCGAGAUAUAAACCGUGGAUCUCGAUCAGAUACAAUUGACGUCGAGACUUCGUGUGAUCUCACGAUCUCGGGUAACCACUUGUAUUCAUUCUCGUAAUAUAAUUAAUCCCGCACAUCCAGGAUAUACCCUGUUCUUUCCAAUCUUAUUAUUCAAGUCUCCAUGUCUCAACAGCAAUGUAAGUCAAUUUCUAUGACUUACUAUACUCCAAGAUCUUUUACUAUCAAAUGUUUAUUUGACUUGGUUACCACACCAAUUCAAUCCUCACCUAAAUGAUAUGCUUUAGAAUUAGCAUUCUCCUCAUACAAUUAGCGACUACCCGCACCAUCAACUUAACAUGCCUGUAUCAUCAUUCUUAUCAUCAACAGAUGAUAACCAAUUCAUACCAAUAAGCAUCAUUUUACUUCAAAGAAUAACACUAUCUGUUUUUCUCACGGUGGGGAUCAUUCCUGUAUGGCGCUUACUCGAUUCAUAUAUGAACUUAGUCUGUAGACUACCUUGACUCAUAUAUAAACUUAUCAAGUAACAUCCACUAUACCCAUUACUCUCUGGUGAAGUCUAUUUCGACUCUCAACUGACAUCACUACCUGCGAUUUUGCAAUACCCUGCUCAAUUGUGUGUUUAAUCCCACACAAUUUCCGUUCCUCGUCCAAAAGGUUCAUUCUCAUCUUCACACUCUAAUGAUCUGAAGACAUAAUCCUCCAACAUUUCACGUGGCUUCCACUACACACUAAUCUCAAAGAAAACCUUUUACUUUUCCGGCCACGUUCACAAUAUAUCAAUCUCUCGCCACGAGUUUCCACGAACACCUCGUUCGUGCUUCUAAUCUCAAUUUCUCAUCGGCGCCUAACUCGGCGGUUCAAAAUAGGCAAAUAGUAGGACCGAGCCUCCGCUCCUAAGGUCACUAUCCUCAAUUUCUCUUUAUCCUUUGAUGCUACCAGCCACGAUCAAUGUCCAUUCGUUCUUGCAACGAAUUUAUACGAACCCGCCAUUCAUGGUUCAGGCCAAAACUCGCUAACAGAGUUAUUGGCCGCACCGACCAUCGGUUUCCACAGGUGGACCAAGGGCCACCAAUCCUACGUAGGCCUACAGCCUAAAUCGAUCUCAACGACGCCUAGCGUCUCUCGCUCGCAAGCGCAAACCCAAUCAUCAUCGGGCGACAUUCUCGUUGGAGAAUUCGCACACACUCCAACUAGGAGCAACCAAGACCCCAAACCACGUCAAGUCCUCGGGUUGGGUCGCUAUACACUCUGUGUGUCCUCGAUCUCACGAUCUAACACGUGGCACUCCACGUACUUGGGUUCAAGCUCGGACUACCGUCCUGACCAAAUCUUUGCCCUACCCGUAGGUAUCGGGCCGCUGCCUCUCGCAGCUGACUGCGCCUGCCCAAUGGGCCCAGGCUCCACAGUUCACAAAGGGUCCAGGCACGGGUCGUCACCAAGCACUACCCGCCGUCGUCGUCCUACACGACAUGCUCUACAGGGCUACACACUCUAGCGGCUCAUAAGCACCAAGUGCGAGCCAACAGUCCUACGAGUGAUCCAUGGCACGCUUCACACUUAGUAACGCUCGAGUGUUACUGCCAACACACUCCCCGGCUAAAUCAUAAUCCACAUUCUACGGACAGCUAACUCAAGUGUCCAACAUUAUCGCGUCUCUCACUAGAUAUUACACGUUAGGCAACUCAGCCUACGUCUCGAAUACGCAAACACAAAUUCCCUCAACUUAAUUGAGGUACAACUCAACUAACUCGCCAAAACCAGGCGAUCAUCUAACCAACAAUUCACUCGCCAAAACUAGGCGAUCAUCUAGCCAUUCGACAACAACGACGCUAUUAACAUUACACAAUCCCUCGGAAUAUCAUCCGAAUUCUCGAACUCUAGAGCGUCUUCUGACGUUCUAAUUUAAUUCUCAUUACCACCCGAAUGGUUUAAAGAGUAGGUCCACCAUUUACAUCUUCAUCCCGAGCCCCAACUUUGGCUCACAGCAACUACUUACUAGCACUAUCCAUCCGCCUAUUCAAACGAUAGGCAAUACACUUUCUUUGUCUACUCACGCUAGGGUAUUAUAUCUCCCCAAAUCUAAGUCUCUAUCACAUUCUUGUGUGUACCGCUCGGAGUUCGCAUCAUUUUCAAGUAUACAAUCUUCUUACUGAAGUCAAUUUACUACCACUUCACUUAUCCAAUAAUACACACGGCCUUGCCGGUGAAAGUUAUCACUACCAUUGCUCUUGAAAAAACAAGUCAAUCAACAGACCUUUCCAAAUUCUAGGAUGACGACUGCAAUUCUCUUCCGGGUGUCGCUUAACACUCGAUUGACCACCCAAACCAUACAUCAGUUGCUUAUCCUUCAUUCUCACUAAUUAAUUCGCACCCCUUCCGUACGAGAUAUCACUUAACAUCAACCACAAGGUUCGGUCCACUACCUCAUCAGGAGUUCGUAGAUUAGGGAAGCGUAUAGCUUUGACACCUUUUCUGUCGAAGUUUCCAUAUUUCAUAAUCGGCCUUGUUUCUAAUAUUUCACACUGUGUACUGAUCACCACUUAGCAUGUAGAAAAUCUUUCUACAUACUUUUCACUGAACAGGCACCCUACUAUAGUCCCCAUGACUUAUCUUGAAAUUCACCAGUUGUUUAUUCCCAUAACAACUCUAUAUCCUAUCCUCGAUACAUAAAUCCUUCCAGGGAAGAAUUUCCCUAAAGCAAAAUUAUAGAUUCUCGACUCAUGAAUAUUCCUUCAUCCACAGCAAAUGGACUAUACUUUCCUGAAGGCCACAAAGGUUAUCCAACUACUCCACAGUCCUCUGGAGUCCAUUGUCUCAAUCCACCAAAUACACUACAGCCUCUCGCUGACAUUGAACUACGACUAUUCAUCGUCACAACCCUACCACGGUGUGACUAACUGACCCCAAAGCUUCAAGUUUCCUUCAGGCUCGGUCAGUUCAAAGAUUCCACUUAUCUCGAACCACAACGAUCUCAUUAGAGAUCAACUACUCAAGACCACUAAACAUGUAACAACGCGACCAAUUCUUGACCUUCAAGGUCAAACAUGAAACAACUAUGUCAACCCAACUCAAAUCAGGCGAAAGUCAUACAAGGAAGCCUAUUCUCAUCACUCGGUUUCAUGUUGUGUGCACCCAACAUGAACACUCCCUGCUGAGAAUACACGAUUCCUUGAAUCUACCUCUAAGAUCCUUUAUAGAGGUAUACAACACACAACCCAAUCGGUUUAACCUUUCGCCACUUACCAAGAUUCUCGUCUCUCACGAACCUAGAUCCUUAUGGUUUUCCAUCCUAAGGUCCCUAGGUCCAUCCUAGACUUUUACUAUCACUUGCUCUGAUACCACUCUAUCUGAUUUGGAGGCUUCCCGAGGAUCUCCUUCAGCUUUACAAAGUUUCUUCAGCUAAUUCUCUGGUCUAUUUACCCGAGAUGUCAACUCGGCAACUCGAAAGAUCAAGGCUGCCAUCAAUUUUCUUAACUAUAAAUCCUGGCAGCAAUUACUUAAUUAUUACUCUUAACCCUUCUUUAGAUAAAUCACUUAAGUGUAACUAAAUACCAAGAUAAACUUACCUUAUCUUGAUAUAAAUCCAGAUUGCUCUCAGCUCACUUCUUCUUUUCCUCAGCUGAAAUUCCACCCAGCUGCCAACACUACUUCAGGUUUCCACUAGCCUAGAGAGAGAGAAAGAGAAGAAAAUAGAUGAUAAGGAGAGAAGAGAAAUGGAAUCUCUGCUCUUGGACAGGUGUAUUCCACCAGGGUUAAGUUGAUAAGGUUGGAAAAAUACAGUUUGGCCCACUAUUUCAGAGAAAUUACCUUGCUGUCCAGAGGUGGCCGCAAUGCUGUACCGGUACAGACAUCACCCUGUACCGGUACACAAUGCAAAUGCUGCUCCUGACAGCAGCUCACAGCAGCAGCUCUCCCAGCCAUUUUCUCACAUUUAGCUCAAUUCCUUUUUUACCCAAACACUUCUAAAACAUGCCAAGAAACCUUUCCAAGCUACCAAAUUAAUUUGAAACCAUUUCAUUUCCAAUUUGGUACAAUUUUGAUCAAUUUCAUCAGGAUUAAUUAAAAAUUUCAGCAUUU